AAGAAGAAGAAGAAGAAGAAGAAGAAGAAGAAGAAGAAGAAGAAGAAGAAGAAGAAGAAGAAGAAGAAGAAGAUGAAGAAGAAGAAGAAGAAGAAGAAGAAGAAGAAGAAGAAGAAGAAGAAGAAGAAGAAAAAGAAGAAGAAGAAGAAGAAGUAGAAGAAGGUAUUCAAGAAGUGAGACAGGUGUGAAACGUAAUUAGGUGGACAACAAACAGGUGUAUUGAGGCUUAAUUUGAUUGCCGUGAAGGAGGAGGAGGAGGAGGAGGAGGAGGAGGAGGCGUACGACGACGAGGAGGACGAGGAGGACGAAAAGAAGGAAGAGGAGGAUGAGGAAGAGAAAGACGAUGAGUAAAUGAAGAGAAAACGAAAUAACCUAGGAUAGACGUAACAUGGAAGCUAAUGGGGAGGAGGAGGAGGAGGAGGAGGGGGAGGACGAGGAGGAAGGAGAAAGCUGUGUAAUGGAGGGAAAGUAUAAAAAUAAUAACGUGUGUAUUAGGGCUCGGGGCAAGGACGUGAGCGGGAAAAAAUACGUGCAUGGAAAUAAAUAUAGAUCACGAAUAGCAAGAAAUUUUAAAAGAAAGAAAGAAAGCUUGAGGGAUAUACGUGAAGGUUCAGAGGACUUUCAACGCUCACCAAUUUCGGCGUGAGAAGUGUCUUGAUAUAAUUUAUGGCCCACGAUAGAGGAAAUACACCAAGAGAAAGUAAGGCUGUACCAGUGUAGUACCAGUAAAUGCGAUGAAAGAGUGACGAUGCUUGUUAACUCCUGCACUUGGAAGUUGGACAGCAUAAAACGAUGAGCGGCGAUACUGGUAGGACAGCACGUAAGGAUGAAAGCACCGACACUGAUUAGCUCUUACAUUGAAAAGUUCGACGAUAAAAGUGUGACGAUACAGCUAAAUUCUUGCAUUAGGAAGUUGGAUAAAGAUGAAAGCAACGACACUGAUUAGGUUUUACAUUGGGAAAUUAGACGGCAUAAAAGGGUGAAAGAGUAACGAUUCAGGCUAACUCUUGCAUUAGGAAGAUGGACAGCAUAAAAAGUUGAAAGAGCGACGAUACUUGUUAACAGUUGCAUUACGAAAUUGAACAGCAUAUAUGUAUGAAAGAGUAACGACGUUCUGUUAGCUCUUGCAUUAGGAAGCUGGACAACCUAUAUGGAUGAAAGAAUGGCGAUAAUGUGUUAACUCUUGCAUCAGGAAGUUGGACAGAAUAGAAAUGAGCUACUACUACUACUACUACUACUACUACUACUACUGCUACUGCUACUACUACUACUAAUACCACCACCAUAUCACCACCACCCCUAACACCCGAUCUCUCUUCACAGAUGGCCACAUUAUCAUGCCUGGGGGUGGUGAACGGGGUGGUGGCGGUGUUUGUCAUCACCACCACCAUCACCACCACAACAACGGCGCAGUUCCAAUACGAGGUACUCCCCCCUGUUUACAAUGUAGAGAGUCCCUCCACUACACCCACCCCCCAGACCCCCUUCCCCCCACCAUCCCCUUCCUCCCCCUCCACCUCCACCUCCUCCUAUGCAUCCAUCUCCUCGUCAUCAUCUCCACCGCUUCCUCUUCCUUCUCCCUCCUCCACCACCUCUCAGAAGCUUUCCUCAUUCCCCUUAACCACAAAAUCAUCACCGCCUCCUCCUCCUCCUCCUCCAUCCCGCCCUGUUCUCCCUACUCCCAUCCCUCACCCCCCCUCCUCCUCAUCCUCAUCCUCCUCCUCCACUCCACCACAACCACCCCACCACCUAAAGUCCACCACCAAGCCCAAGAAACAAAGGCCUAUAAGCAAGUUUAGGCCUAAGAUAAGAAGCAAGUUGAGCCUUUCGCAACUACAGCACCACCGCCCCCCCAUCACCUCCACCUCCACCUCCACCACCACCGAGGAUAGACAGGCCCUGCCCCCCUCCUACGCCUUCCAGUACCAGGUGGAGGAGCAGGGCGGGCGCUACGGGCACGCGGAGGAGUUCGAUGGGCGGGCGGCGUCGGGCUCCUUCUCCCUUCUGCGACCCGACGCCCACCACAACUUCUCCUACGUGGCGGGCUGACUCGACGACCUUCACUUGGACCCACCUGAGACAACUUCACCUGGCCAUACCUGAUGACAUCUAAACUUCACGUUACUUCACCUGAGGUCAUAUGAAAGCACAAGUUCACCUGACAACGCCUGGGAACAACUAACAACCUGAUGACAACUAAACCACCUAAAUUCACCUGAAGACACCUGGCGACACUUCACUUCACCUGGCCACAUCUGAGACUACUUAACUUAUCCUGGUUUCACUUGAGGACACUUAACCUGACCGCAACUGGGACACGUAACUGCAUAUGGCUUCAAAUGAGGUCACCUAACUUCACAUGACCUCAUCUGGGGACACUUAACCACUUAAAGGCUCCUAACUUCACCUGACCACGCUUGAGGACACCUAACUUCACCUGACCACACCUGACGACACCUAACUUCACCUGGUCACAACUGACGACACCCAACUUCACCUGGCCGCAACUGAAGACACCUAACUUCACCUGGCCACACCUGAGGACACUUAACUUCACCUGGCUUCACCUUACUUCACCUGGGACGACCUAACUUCACCUGGCUUCACCUUACUUCACCUGGGACGACCUAACUUCACCUGGCUAAACCUGAGGACCCUUAAACAACACCUGAUGACACCGAAUCUUACCUGACCAUACCUGAUGACACCCAACUUCACCUGGCCACACCUGAGGCCACUUAACUUCACCAGAGCUAACCAAACAUCGCCUGAGGACACUUGGAGGCACCUAAUGUUACCUUUAUGGCCUGAUGACUCACACAACUUCACCUGACCACACCUUAGGGACAUCAAACUUCCCCUAACUUCACGUGUGGCCGAAAACUCACUUAACUUUACCGGGCCGCACCUUAAGGACACUAAACUUCACCCGGGGUCAUCUAAUAACCAAACUUCACCUACGAGGCCGGAUGAAUCACCUAACGUUACCUGGCGACAUCCGAUGACACCAAACUUCGCCUGAUCUAACCAAACUUCCGCUGAGGAUGUAUGGAAUCACCUAGUCACCUAACUUCACCUACCUGUCCGGCUGACUUCACCUAGAUAAUUUCACCAGGGACCUGAGGACACAAACUUCACCUGACUCACCUAACUUCACCUGAGGAUAUCAAACUUCGCCUACACUCAUCUGGAAUCACCUUCAGUUCCCUAACUUCACUUAAAGGGCUACAUGGCUCACCUAACUUCACCUAGGGACAUCAAACUUCACCUGUCUCAUCAACCAAUACCUAGAGAUAUCCCUAACUUCAUCUGAAUGGCUAGAUGGCUCACCUAACUUCAAAGGGGGAUAUAGACCUCCACCUGCCCUCAUCAAACCUUACAUGGAAAAGCAUGGAAUCACUUUGUCCCUUAGCUUAACCUGCAUGGCCGGAUAACUUCAUCAAACUGCAACACUUGUACUCCACUUGGCAUCAAUUAACAUCACAGCUUUACACGACGUCAAAUAACUUCAUAUAGUCAUCUCGGCCUAUUAAAUUUUACACUUAACUAACUUCAUAUCCCCUCACCAGAAGUCACACUGGAGUUACUGUGCCUGACCUAACUUCCUCUAACUUCACUCAACUUCACCUGAACGUCCCCAACGCUCACCUGGGCGAGAUCAUCGUCAACAAGGCGAACCAAACCUCACCUGGGUGCCGCCUUAAUAACCUGGAUCUUACAUGGAAUUGGUCUAAUUUAACUUGGAUACACCUGAGACACAACAACCAGAAGAGACGCCCACCUACCUCCUCUGAGCUCGUUAAUUAUCCUGUUCGUCUUUGUUUGUUUACUUGUUAUGUUUUCGUAAGAUUUUUUUGUUAUAAUAAAGACAGGAAAAAUUA
Molecule: long non-coding RNA, 3881 nt
Organism: Eriocheir sinensis (Chinese mitten crab)
Lineage: Eukaryota; Metazoa; Arthropoda; Malacostraca; Decapoda; Varunidae
Exons: 2
Source: RefSeq, a predicted model, not a curated record